GACGAACGCUGGCGGUGUGCCUCACACAUGCAAGUCGAGCGGACGAAGAUUGAAGCUUGCUUCAGUCCUAGUUAGCGGCGGACGGGUGAGUAACACGUAGGAAUCUGCCUUCAGGCGGGGGACAACGGAACGAAAGUUGCGCUAAUACCCCAUAUGCGAGUAAUCGUAAAAGGAGCAAUCCACCGGAAGAUGAGCCUGCGUCCGAUUAGCUAGUUGGUAGGGUAAAAGCCUACCAAGGCUACGAUCGGUAGUUGGUCUGAGAGGAUGAUCAGCCACAAUGGAACUGAGACACGGUCCAUACACCUACGGGAGGCAGCAGUGGGGAAUUUUACGCAAUGGGCGAAAGCCUGACGUAGCGACACCGCGUGAGCGAAGAAGCCUUUUGGGGUGUAAAGCUCUGUCAGCUGGAACGAACACAAUGACGGUACCAGCAGAGGAAGCAUCGGCUAACUACGUG
Molecule: ribosomal RNA, 457 nt
Filed under: uncultured bacterium
Lineage: Bacteria
Description: bacterial SSU rRNA
Rfam family: Bacterial small subunit ribosomal RNA
Source: RNAcentral